Molecule: long non-coding RNA, 611 nt
Organism: Neopelma chrysocephalum (saffron-crested tyrant-manakin)
Lineage: Eukaryota; Metazoa; Chordata; Aves; Passeriformes; Pipridae
Exons: 2
Source: RefSeq, a predicted model, not a curated record
CCCUCAGCCUGGAGCAUCCCACCCGCAUCCGUGGGAUUCACCCGGGCUGGGAUAUUCGGGCUCUGCAGCCGUCCCCGCCUCUGCCAGCACGUUUGGAGGGGCGGGAUGGGGACAACCACUGCCCCCUGGGACACCUCCACCACCCCCGUCCCACCUCCCAAAGGCCGCGGCAGCAGCUCGCCUGUCCCUCCCCAAGGAGGGGGGGAUGUAACACCCGCCCCCCACGCCGGGACCUGCCUGUUCCUCCUCUCCCACCCCAAAUCCACGGAGCAGAGCCGGGUUUAGCUUCGCUCGGGGUCAGGGCGGCGACCCCGUAACCACGAGGUGGCAAUGCAGCCCCGAGGUGACAGCGCAGCCCCGAGGUGACACCGGCGCUCCCACUUUCAAUCUGGGUGUCGAUAAAAGCUGAGAUUUCCCUGGAUCUCCUCGAAAAACCUCACCACGGAGGCCGCGGGGCUGUGCCGGCAGCAGGUGGAGGAGCCGAGCCCCCCUUUGCUGGAGGAGGAGGAGGAGGAUGGAGCCUUCCUCCCAUUUUUCCGCAGCCUUUCUCCACAGCACCCGAACCUCGGGGGUCCCAAUAAAAGCCGGAUUGUUCCUGAUGUUCCAGCGCC